Long non-coding RNA from Oryctolagus cuniculus (rabbit), 1378 nucleotides. RefSeq lists it as uncharacterized. NCBI's taxonomy places the organism in Eukaryota, Metazoa, Chordata, Mammalia, Lagomorpha, Leporidae. The record is from RefSeq and is a predicted model, not a curated record.
AAGUGAGCCUAGGGCGCCAGGUGCCCGGACUACAUUUCCCAGAAUUCCCAGCCCUGCCUAGGGCGGAAGUGCCGGCCACCAUGCUGCGCGCCUGGGUUGUGUUUCUCAACAUUCCCGCUGGAAACGAGGGUGCGGAUGCUUCUAGAACUCUGACUAGCGCCACCUCUACCUACCAGGGGGGAUUCCUGCCGGGGCCGCCAGUGAAUGGACGCCGACGCCAAGAGUCGGCCACCGCGGCCGCGACGCCGGAGCCGGCGCCGAGGGGAGCAGCCGGUGUGCCCGCCUCUCCGUGGCUUUCGCUGCUGAACGUGAAUGUGGGCCCUGCGGCCGAGGGGGGGACAGCAUUGACCGGAGACAGAGUCCCAGUGUGGGGAGCGGCGACCUGCGUGGAAUCCCCGAGCUGCUGUGGCAUCCCCGGUGUCCAUGCGGCUCUGUCCUGCAGAGAGGAAAGUGGGAAAGCUGACGGCUCAACCCAGCAGCCUUCAGCAGGGAGAAAGGGAAAGGGGAAGUCGAAGUGCCCACUUCUCUGCUGGGCGCCAAAUACCCGGAUGCACCGUGCCCGUCACACUGACCGGUUAGCCGUGCUGGGUGUUGUCUGCGGCUCUCACCAGCCCGCCGUGCCCUGCCGAAGCAGCCAGGCCACUGUCGGGCCGGCUUUCUCGGGUUCUGGAUUGGUCUGAUGGUGUCCAUGUUGUACUGAAACCUCAAUACUUCCUGCAAACGGGAGGCUCGGUCUAGAGGCUGAAUAAACGUUUGCCACAAAUACGGCACAUCCGAGGCUGGAAAUGGCUGGGCAAGGUCACGCGAAAGCUCCGCCUGGGGUCCUCUCAAGUUCUGGGCAGGUACUCUCGCCACGGGGUAAAAGAAAAAGGUUCAGCAGCCACUAUGUGAAAAUUCUCGAUAAUUCUGAGAAAAAACCAUGCUAACAACACUGUGGAGUUUUCAAUAAUUAUCUUACAGUUUAUAUAUUAUUAAAAGAGGAUCAGUCUGACAAUAGGUGAAACUUUUGGACAGAAAUGACAGAAAAUGUAAAGAUACAAUAGGCGGGGCCAGUGCUGUGGCAUAGUGGGUAAAGCCCUCGGCUGCAGUGCGGGCAUCCCAACUGGGUGCUGGUUCGAGUCCCAGCUGCUCCACUUCCCAUCCAGCUCUCUGCUAUGACCUGGGAAAGCAGUAGAAGAUGGCCCAAGUCCUUGGGCCCCUGCAUCCACACGGAGACCCGGAAGAAGCUCCUGGCUCCUGGCUUCAGAUCGGCACAGCUCCAGCCAUUGUGGCCAGUUGGGGAGUGAACCAGUGGAUGGAAGACCACUCUCUCUCUCUGUCUCUACCUCUGCCUCUCUGUAACUGCCUUUCAAAUAAAUAAAUAUUAAAAAAAAAAAAA